RNAcentral lists this ribosomal RNA (254 nucleotides) under uncultured bacterium. RNAcentral describes it as "partial 16S ribosomal RNA". It matches the Rfam family "Bacterial small subunit ribosomal RNA", at positions 524 to 776 of the family's 1533-position model. The record is from RNAcentral.
CACGUAGGGUGCGAGCGUUGUCCGGAAUUAUUGGGCGUAAAGAGCUCGUAGGCGGUGUGUCGCGUCGGCCGUGAAAACCUGCAGCUUAACUGUGGGCUUGCGGUCGAUACGGGCAUCACUGGAGUUCGGCAGGGGAGACUGGAAUUCCUGGUGUAGCGGUGAAAUGCGCAGAUAUCAGGAGGAACACCGGUGGCGAAGGCGGGUCUCUGGGCAACAACUGGCGCUGAGGAGCGAAAGCGUGGGGAGCGAACAGG